Molecule: ribosomal RNA, 434 nt
Filed under: uncultured bacterium
Lineage: Bacteria
Description: bacterial SSU rRNA
Rfam family: Bacterial small subunit ribosomal RNA
Source: RNAcentral
UCAGGCCUAACACAUGCAAGUCGAACGGCAGCACGGGUGCUUGCACCUGGUGGCGAGUGGCGAACGGGUGAGUAAUACAUCGGAACGUACCUUAUCGUGGGGGAUAACGCAGCGAAAGCUGUGCUAAUACCGCAUACGUCCUGAGGGGGAAAGCGGGGGAUCGCAAGACCUCGCGCGAUUAGAGCGGCCGAUGCCUGAUUAGCUAGUUGGUGGGGUAGAAGCCCACCAAGGCGACGAUCAGUAGCUGGUCUGAGAGGACGAUCAGCCACACUGGGACUGAGACACGGCCCAGACUCCUACGGGAGGCAGCAGUGGGGAAUUUUGGACAAUGGGGGCAACCCUGAUCCAAAAGUGCCGCGUGAGUGAAGAAGGCCUUCGGGUUGUAAAUUAGGGGUUCAGGGAAGAAACACCGGCUCUACACAGUCCGGGAAUGA